This 497-nucleotide ribosomal RNA is filed under the name uncultured bacterium. RNAcentral describes it as "partial 16S ribosomal RNA". It matches the Rfam family "Bacterial small subunit ribosomal RNA", at positions 28 to 507 of the family's 1533-position model. The record is from RNAcentral.
GAUGAACGCUGGCGGCGUGCCUAAUACAUGCAAGUCGAGCGAACAGACGAGGAGCUUGCUCCUCUGACGUUAGCGGCGGACGGGUGAGUAACACGUGGAUAACCUACCUAUAAGACUGGGAUAACUUCGGGAAAGCGGAUCUAAUACCGGAUAAUAUAUUGAACCGCAUGGUUCAAUAGUGAAAGACGGUGUUUCUGUCACUUAUAGAGGGAUCCGCGCCGCAUUAGCUAGUUGUUAAGGUAACGGCUUACCAAGGCAACGAUGCGUAGCCGACCUGAGAGGGGGAUCGGCCACACGGGAACUGGGACACGGACCAGACUCCUACGGGAGGCAGCAGUAGGGAAUCUUCCGCAAUGGGAGAAAGCUUGACGGAGCAAGGCCGCGUGAGUGAUGAAGGUCUUCGGAGCGUAAAACUCUGUUAUUAGGGAAGAACAAAUGUGUAAGUAAAUAUGCACGUCUUGACGGUACCUAAUCAGAAAGCCACGGCUAACUACGUG